GUCGGGUGUGAAAUCUCGGAGCUUAACUCCGAAACUGCAUUCGAUACUGCCGUGCUUGAGGACUGGAGAGGAGACUGGAAUUUACGGUGUAGCGGUGAAAUGCGUAGAUAUCGUAAGGAAGACCAGUGGCGAAGGCGGCUCACUGGCCCGGUACUGACGCUGAGGCACGAAAGCGUGGGGAGCAAACAGG
RNAcentral lists this ribosomal RNA (190 nucleotides) under uncultured Spartobacteria bacterium. Its description in RNAcentral is "partial 16S ribosomal RNA". It matches the Rfam family "Bacterial small subunit ribosomal RNA", at positions 587 to 776 of the family's 1533-position model. Lineage: Bacteria; Pseudomonadati; Verrucomicrobiota; Spartobacteria. The record is from RNAcentral.